RNAcentral lists this ribosomal RNA (624 nucleotides) under uncultured Shewanella sp. RNAcentral's name for it is "bacterial SSU rRNA". It matches the Rfam family "Bacterial small subunit ribosomal RNA", at positions 216 to 833 of the family's 1533-position model. Lineage: Bacteria; Pseudomonadati; Pseudomonadota; Gammaproteobacteria; Alteromonadales; Shewanellaceae. The record is from RNAcentral.
CGCGAUUGGAUGAACCUAGGUGGGAUUAGCUAGUUGGUGAGGUAAUGGCUCACCAAGGCGACGAUCCCUAGCUGUUCUGGGAGGAUGAUCAGCCACACUGGGACUGAGACACGGCCCAGACUCCUACGGGAGGCAGCAGUGGGGAAUAUUGCACAAUGGGGGAAACCCUGAUGCAGCCAUGCCGCGUGUGUGAAGAAGGCCUUCGGGUUGUAAAGCACUUUCAGUAGGGAGGAAAGGGUGAGUCUUAAUACGGCUCAUCUGUGACGUUACCUACAGAAGAAGGACCGGCUAACUCCGUGCCAGCAGCCGCGGUAAUACGGAGGGUCCGAGCGUUAAUCGGAAUUACUGGGCGUAAAGCGUGCGCAGGCGGUUUGUUAAGCGAGAUGUGAAAGCCCUGGGCUCAACCUAGGAAUAGCAUUUCGAACUGGCGAACUAGAGUCUUGUAGAGGGGGGUAGAAUUCCAGGUGUAGCGGUGAAAUGCGUAGAGAUCUGGAGGAAUACCGGUGGCGAAGGCGGCCCCCUGGACAAAGACUGACGCUCAUGCACGAAAGCGUGGGGAGCAAACAGGAUUAGAUACCCCGGUAGUCCACGCCGUAACGAUGUCUACUCGGAAUUUGGUGCCUU